CUGAAACUGUUUGCCGCUUGUGUAGAACAUGUCAAAACCUUCCUUCCUAUCAGAGCUGGAAGAUCCUGAUUGACUAGAGACGUUGCACUUAAUGGAAGAUGUUUUAGUGUUUGAGCUCGAGUUGACAGUGUUGGCGAGAGAGGCACUAUUUGUCACUUUCCCUCUCAGAGAGAAUUCAGAGAAGGACACAAUCACUGUGUCCAACUGUGAUUGUUUACAAUGUGCAGUCAUUGCAAUGCAUUGUGCUUCUGGGGAAAGAUUUAGCAAGUUACAAAAGGAAAUAACUACACUAUCCUUCCCUGUAACACCCCUGGACAUUGACCAAUCCCUGUUAAACAUGUCCGCAUUCACAGGAGUAAGUCUACCUGACCUUGAAAUGGACUUGGCCGACAUAGCCCACGAAAACAUAUGGGUAUCUAAAGUAAGUUCCAAAGCCUGACAGCUGAACUUGUAGAUGUUGCCCGUCAGAAGGCUAUUCUCGCACAGAACAAAAGAUGGAGCAAAACUGAAAAAAUCCCAAAACCCGACAAACUUAUGUUUAUUACAUGGAAUGCUAGUCCUGACAAUUAUGUCGAUAUGAAGAAGUAUGUAUUUGGAGUCCUAUCCAUCUUUGGAUCAACGUACUUGUGCGAUCAAGUUUUCUCAAGCCUGAACCACACAAAGUCCAAAUAUCGUUCCUGCCUCACUGAUGAGAGCCUGCAGGCUUGUGUGGAGAUCAGAGAUACAUCUUACAGCCCUGAUAUUGAGAAGAUCUGCAGUGAUGUUCAGAAACAGAAAUCUCAUUAUACUGGUGAGAACAGUAUCCUAAUUAGGUUAUUAUUUUACAACACAUUAUCUCUUUUAGAAAGUUGUGAUUUUUCUCAGUGAAGUGUAUGACCGUGAGCUGAUAUCGUUGUUUUGCUAUGUUUUGUUUAUUUUCAGUGUAGGCUACUUUUUAUUGUAUCACAUUUGGGCUAUUCUUUUUCUUUGCACAAACACAGGGAUGACUCAAACUAGGCCCGCAUAUCUAUUUAUAGCAUCUACAUUUUUAAGUAAGCGUACACAUGCCAGUGGAUUUUUUCUCCACUACACAAUUAAUCAGUUUUGUGUUUUGUUGGAAAUAGCAUCCUACAAUAAAAAUAACCAAAGUGUCAACUUUUUUCUUUAUUGUAGCAGUACUAUAAUUUAAUAAAUGCACCAAAAAGAUUUUUUUUUCUUUCUGGCCAAAAAUGGCUCUUUACAUAGUAAAACUUGCUGACCCCUUAGACAGUCACACAUAGCUCAGUUACAAGUGACAGAUGCCCUAAUAUGUCAUCCUUUGGAUUUAAGAGAUUUUUUUGCAGCAAAAAAGCUUUUCUAGAUUUCCUGAUCACUGUUUGAUAGUUCUCUUGUAAGUAAGUGUGACUUUGUCUCUCUGUUUCCUCUUACUUUCAUACUUCUCUGUUGUAGGAAAGUGAACCCAAACCUUACCACAGGGUCAAAGUUGACUUCUCUUUAUCCACUGGUGAUGAUCUCUACCUCCCUACCCACCAACCAAUAACAUGGCACUUUCAUACACCAGAGGAAGAGAUCAGUCUAGGGCCGGCCUGCUGGCUGUGGGACUACCUGAGGAGAAGUGGACAGGCUGGUUUCCUGUUGCCUCUGAGCGGAGGCGUUGACAGCUCUUCCACCGCCUGUAUUGUCCACUCUAUGUGUGUGCUGCUCUGCCAGGCUGUGGAGGA
This is a long non-coding RNA of Xiphias gladius (swordfish), 1700 nucleotides long. RefSeq lists it as uncharacterized. NCBI's taxonomy places the organism in Eukaryota, Metazoa, Chordata, Actinopteri, Istiophoriformes, Xiphiidae. The record is from RefSeq and is a predicted model, not a curated record. The transcript is spliced from 3 exons.